CCUACGGGCGGCUGCAGUGGGGAAUAUUGCACAAUGGGGGAAACCCUGAUGCAGCGACGCCGCGUGAGUGAAGAAGUAAUUCGUUAUGUAAAGCUCUAUCAGCAGGGAAGAAAAUGACGGUACCUGAGUAAGAAGCCCCGGCUAACUACGUGCCAGCAGCCGCGGUAAUACGUAGGGGGCAAGCGGUAUCCGGAUUGACUGGGUGGAAAGGGAGCGUAGACGGGAGUGCAAGUCUGGAGUGAAAGGCGGGGGCUCAACCCCCGGUCUGCUCUGGAAACUGUACGGCUGGAGUGCAGGAGAGGUGAGUGGAAUUCCUAGUGUAGCGGUGAAAUGCGUAGAUAUUAGGAGGAACACCAGUGGCGAAGGCGGCUUACUGGACUGUAACUGACGUUGAGGCUCGAAAGCGUGGGGAGCAAACAGGAUUAGAUACCCUUGUAGUC
RNAcentral lists this ribosomal RNA (440 nucleotides) under uncultured bacterium. RNAcentral describes it as "partial 16S ribosomal RNA". It matches the Rfam family "Bacterial small subunit ribosomal RNA", at positions 338 to 795 of the family's 1533-position model. The record is from RNAcentral.